Molecule: long non-coding RNA, 1323 nt
Organism: Anopheles gambiae (African malaria mosquito)
Lineage: Eukaryota; Metazoa; Arthropoda; Insecta; Diptera; Culicidae
Exons: 2
Source: RefSeq, a predicted model, not a curated record
CAGUUGUCGCUUUCUUUCAACAGUGAUUCUCGCUUGAUAUCGUUGCGUCGUGUCGCUCCUUUGGUGUUCCUGUGGAUAUAGAUUUGAAAGAGGAUUAGCGGAUAUAAUAGAAACAUGGCUGAUAAUAAUGAGACACCCAAUAGUGAAAGAAACAGAGCAGUUCUACCGACUUCGUCUCGUGGCAUCACCAUCAUAGACAACAUAUUGAUAGUUCCGCCGAAAGCUGUUCAUUCCAGCACUUCCCGAUCAUCAUCUCCGCCAGCUUUUAUGUAUAUUAGUGCCCCCCUACAAUCAACAUCCACAGCAACGCAUUCUCGUCCUCACUCACAACCAGGAUCAACAAAACCUGCGAUUCCUCCUAAACCCAAAGUUCUUUCUGAUCCUGCUUCUGUUCCUAAACUUCCAAUGGCUCCAAAAACUAGCACAACAUUCAAACCUACAGUAGCACCAAAACCGGCAAUAGCAUCCAAACCACCAAUAGCAUCCAAACCACCAAUAGCACCUAAACCAUCAGUAUCUGCAACUGAUAUCGCAUAUUCAAAGAUGUAUCGAGAAGAAAGGAUUGAAAAGAAGAUUGACAUUGCUGUUAAAAUGCUGGAGAAGUUAUCACCGCAGGUUUCGAUGAUAAUGAACAACGUGUGUAGAAACUAAUAUACCGUCCCUAGGUCAUUUGAAGUAGACAGGAUAAGCGAUGAACAUAGCCUAAACAAAUUUGAACAAUCGUUACAAAAUGGUACGUAUAUGGUAAACCUAGUUUGUCAAAUCGUGCAUAUAUUAACGGAUGUCACAGAUUUUGACAAACGGUUAACAAUUGUUCUCGAUCUUUUUUUCGAAAAAGAUUUUUUGAAGAAAUGUUGCUGGACCGGAGAAGGCAAGCAGGGACCUAAAAUUUGCUUCUCGACACAUUGUCUCAACAAAUUGUUUUAAAAGAGCUUCCGCGUAAUCCCAAUGAUUUUUAAAAUGAUUGCUGGAAAACAAUGUUAUUGCAACAUAAAAGAGUUUAAAAUGAUGAUAACCAUCAUCGUGAAUUCUACCUCUAAGUAAUGCUAUGCUAAUAUGAUUGAGAAAUGUACGAUAUUCGGACCCCUUCCAAUAAGCUAAAUAUUUCAGUGGCCUCAUUGCCCUAUUUAUCUUUGCAGGUAACUUUGUCUUUGCUAGAAUUUUAGAAAUUUCCUCUCUAUCUUCUUCGUUCCACUUCGGAAACGGUGCUAAACUACCUUCGGCAUAUCCUUUUCCUAAUUUUGUUGCUAUUCCUAAAUGUAGUAAGUGUAAAUCGUCUGCUAUGCUUAAGAUCUUAAUAAAAUCUUUAUCUUUAAUAUCUAA